GCGAACGCUGGCGGCAGGCCUAACACAUGCAAGUCGAACGGAUCCUUCGGGAUUAGUGGCGGACGGGUGAGUAACACGUGGGAACGUGCCUUUUGGUUCGGAACAACUCAGGGAAACUUGAGCUAAUACCGGAUAAGCCCUUCGGGGGAAAGAUUUAUCGCCAUUAGAGCGGCCCGCGUCUGAUUAGCUAGUUGGUGGGGUAAAGGCCCACCAAGGCGACGAUCAGUAGCUGGUCUGAGAGGAUGAUCAGCCACAUUGGGACUGAGACACGGCCCAAACUCCUACGGGAGGCAGCAGUGGGGAAUCUUGCGCAAUGGGCGAAAGCCUGACGCAGCCAUGCCGCGUGAAUGAUGAAGGUCUUAGGAUUGUAAAAUUCUUUCACCGGGGACGAUAAUGACGGUACCCGGAGAAGAAGCCCCGGCUAACUUCGU
RNAcentral lists this ribosomal RNA (431 nucleotides) under uncultured bacterium. RNAcentral's name for it is "bacterial SSU rRNA". It matches the Rfam family "Bacterial small subunit ribosomal RNA", at positions 29 to 506 of the family's 1533-position model. The record is from RNAcentral.